Molecule: RNA transcript, 9733 nt
Organism: Toxotes jaculatrix (banded archerfish)
Lineage: Eukaryota; Metazoa; Chordata; Actinopteri; Toxotidae
Gene: tasor2
Gene name: transcription activation suppressor family member 2
Exons: 18
Source: RefSeq, a predicted model, not a curated record
AAGAUACCUGGGACGUUAUCAGUCUGCUGUGAUGUUUGAAACCAGAGAGAAUUGUUUUCAACGAAGGGCAAAGGGAGAGCGACAGAUUUCGUAAGAGUUCAGCUAUGGAAAGUGGAAAUGGUGGUGCCUCGAGUAAAGGUGUUUUACUGCCCGUGUCAGACACUUCUGACGUCUUUAAAAACAGCAUUUUGGCCCCUCUUCAAAGUGCGUACUUGUAUGAAGAGUCAAAGCAGUCUUUCAGAUACAAGUCCGCUGUCUUGAUUAAGAAUCCAGUACUGGAAGAGAAGUAUAAUGCCUUCAGAGCCAAGAUAAGAGACGUAACAGAUUCAGAAGAAGAUCUGAAGGAAACCUAUGGGUUUUUGCUGUUUGAUGAUCUCGAGAAGGCUCAUGCAAUUGGAGAAACUGGUGUUCUCACAGGAAACAGUUCAUGCACAACCCUGGGAGAUCCCUGGAAGGGUGUUUACAUUUCUAUGUACUCUGACUGUUUGGAUCUGAAUCGCUGGUAUCAUGGGAAAUCUGGAUACAUUGCUAUCAUCAGGCUGACAAAGGGGAGAGUUAAAAGAGUUUUAGAGAACUACACCCAGAAUUUCACAGCACCCACUGUGGGGUUCGACUGCCAUGUGUCAGAGCAGUUGUCCUCAGUAUCUGCCAAAACCAGCUCCUUUCUUGCUUUUGAGAGAACCCAGUAUUACAUGUAUGAGCUGUUAGAUGAUGGAAGCAGUGAAACGGCUCAGUGUCCCAGUGCUGCCUGUCCUUUUGCUAUUGUAUCGUUUUCAUAUUCGGACACCAAAGCAACACCUGUGGCACCACAGGAGACAAGAGAGGAGAAAAAACAGGUCUCUCAGUACUUUGCCUGGAGAGGUCAACUUCAAAUAGGCACCCGGUUCUGUGAUGUUGGGCUGAGGUCUACAACAGGAACUUUGAUUCCUGCAAAACUGCCACCAGUGGUCAAAGUUGACAGAGCCAUCUCCACGUUAGAUCUGAUAAAGCUGUUGCCCAGGACUGUCUUUGAAACCUGCUUCUCAGGAGAAGUCUUUUUAGAUGGCUUAUACUACAGUCUGUGUGAGCUGUUGACUUCUGAGGCAGAAGAAACCAACUUAUUCUCUCUGCUUCUACGGGAGAUCAAGGAGAAAGAUCUUGCUCUCCCUGUUCCGCUGAAUGAUGGUGGUUUUCUUAUCCUGUUACACCCCUCCCAUUUCUUCACGUACGAUGACACGGGGUCCAACGCAACUGAGGUCCUGAGAGGCAUGUUUGUUUUUCCAGACUCACGCGUUAUACAGAAAGACACAAAAUCUGGACACAGAAAGACCACGUUGUCAUCUGAAAUCCUUCGGGUUCUACCAGUGCUAAGCUACGCAGAGGGUGAAAUUGAGAAAACACCCUUCGACUCAAAUGAAAAACUGUGUGAAGUGUUGGUGCAGCAUAUGCAGAAUUAUGCAGCACUGAUAAAUCCUGGGUUGGCAUUAAGUCCCUCAAGGGAGUCCAGCAUCUUUCCAGAUCAGUAUGAUGUGCUGGAUGGGCACAGACACCUCUAUUCAUCCCCUGAGUGGACUAACAGGGCAUGGCAGAGCUUCAGGUCAUACAUCAGCAAGCCAGUAUCCUUUCAGUUGCCAGUAUCUAAAGCUUCAGAAAUCCUGGCAGCUGGACAAGAGGAGCAAAGAGAAGACCUUGAUGACGACGUCUAUAUCUGCCUGUCAUCUCCUGAGGAGGCACCAACCAGUUCUGUUGGCAUUCGGACAGAAGACCAGUUAACAGACCGGAAAUCUCCUGUAAAUGUUGAGACAUCUGAGGACAGUUAUGUAACAAGUACGGAAGCACAAGUUGACUUAACAGCUGUGCCUCAGAAUGUUGUACCAGAUGAUUUGCAAGCUGGAGAUAAAACCAAAGAUACGGAAAAAUCAGGUCUGACCAUACUGAUCAAAACUGAUGAUUCAGGGGCAAAAAAUCUUCAGAUUCCCGCUACAUCAGAGGACCUUUCAGCAGAGCUGAUUGUUAGCAUCACUUCAGCAGAGCGAACUGUAACUGAUGAAAGUGUGAUCAGUACCAUGACAGCAACAAAGCAUAAUGACUUUCAGCUUUCUGGUUUUUCAGCAGCAAAAUUGCAAACACCAGGAGAGGACUCUCUGCAUGAUGAGACUGCUACAAAAGUCAUAAAUAAAGAUUGCCCUGAGCUCACCAGUUUCACAAAAACAAAACAAAGGAGACUAUACAGGGGGCAUACCAAAGGUCUGAGAAAGGCAUCUAAAGCUGGUGCUGAGACUCUUAGUUCACAGACAGUCAAUAUGUCAGGGGAGGAUGACAUCUCCAUGAGUCAGAAGGAUGACCAGGACAUGGAAUCAUCAGGCCUCUCACAGCUGAACAGUCCUUUGAAUAUUGCUUUGAGAAAAUUCCGAAGGCGAAAACGCAAAUUUGGGAAGCUGUCAUCUAAGAAUAAGAAAGUGAGAGAGAGGGAGCAAAAAUCAGACCCUGGACAGCAGAACUUGGGGGGCAUCGUUUUAAUGGAACCUGAAGUUUGUCCUCUGAGAAAGAAAACCGAGCGCUGGGACUUAAAGCCGGUUUUGAGCGAAUGUGGACAAAUCUUGGUUCCUCAUGGCUCCAUAGACUUUGCUGAUCAAAUUAGGUCUUUCAAAGAUCAGCUUCAGUGUACAAAAAACGACCAGUAUCCUGAAAAAAUGCCAGUUGAUGCCUCCGUGAGUGCUCAUGACAAAGUUGAAAUGGAGCAAGAGUCUAGCACUUCUCCAGAGACAGCAGUGGACAAAAGAGAGGCCACAACAUCCAAGGAUGGAGGGAACCAUCUUCAAAAUGUUGUGGCUGGUCGUAUUAAUGCUGAACAUAGCCUUUUGAGACAAUCAGACGACGGUUCUCUGAAUCCAGAGAGUAGUAAGCAUUCCUCAAAGGAUGAUGGCACAGACACUAGUCCCUCAGAAGCGGUUAAAGAAAAGCACACUAAUACCUUCUCCCCAGGAAAGUGUGCAACAGUGGGUGACUUUCUGUUGAGUAAACUAAAAUCAGUUCUUUUAAGGGGAAAGAGAAAAAACAAUUUCCUUGCAUUAGAGGGAAACACUACAGAUACUGCCCAGAACACUGAGCCUUGUCUCAAGAAGGGCAAAGUUGACUCUGAUGCUGAGGCAUUGAAGAGUAAUAAUGCAAGUGUCCCGACCACCAGUGCGGGUGCCAAGGAAGUUUCAGAGAUGCUUUCAGUUGACCCUGUUUUUGCUUAUGCCUUGGGCCUGACCCCUAAAGAGAAACCAAAUGACGUACAGAAAAGUGAGGGUCAGGAUUCUCAACUAAAGAAAGCCUCAUCAGAGACACAAGAACAAACCAUUUUAGACAAACAUCCUCAAAUCAUACAAAAAUCUCCAUCAAUUUUCCCAAGAAGGGGUAGGAUUAAAACACUCAAAAGGCAUCAAGGCAUCCCCGCAGAACAUAUCAAAAAGAAAUGGUGGUUGCAUUUUCAAACCCCAGCUUCUUUUGCCACUGAAAAACUCAAAAACAAAGAGAGUACUAGGGAUAAUUCUGUCAGGAAGACUGUUAAGGAAAAAAUGAACAGUGCUUGCUCAUCUACAGAUGGUUUGAACUUACUUGCUGACUUGGCACUCAGAGCCAGUAAAGACCAGGUUCCACCACAACCAGACCAAGCACUUGAGAGAAAACCUGAGACGAGUUUGAAGAAGUGUGGCCUUAAAAAAGAUGUUACCAGUGCUGAACAAGAGUCAGUUCUUCAUGCUCUGCUUAGACAGCCUGCUGCUCUACCCAUUCCGCCUCUUGAGUCCCCUUCUCCAAGCCAUCUUGUGGGAGGUAGUGAAUUGGUUGGUUUAAUAUCUAAAGAACAUGCUUACUCACUACCCCCGUCUUCCCCUCUGCUGUUGGGUUUGCCAGGUACACCCUUCCAGGUAUCCCCUUUAAGUGGUUCUACCAGACUGCUGCACCAUCACCCGCAAUUGCAUGGCGGUGGAAUUCAAACACUACACCCCUCUGUCUGUCAGAACGACAGAGGUGAAUGCAACCACCGGACUUCAGAAUACCUGAAAAAACACUUGGUUCGCAGGCGAAAGUUCAGACACUCUCGAACCUUUGUUAACAAGGAUGGAUCUGUCCAAGUCACAAGGCAAUGGAAAGAAAACUAUGACUUUAAUCGAGACAGCAAGUUUUCAAGCGACUCAAAGGAUAAAGCUAUCCUACGAGCCUUGCAUGGCCCAUGGGAUUUCUCCAUUCAGGACACCACAGAAGAGGUACAGCUCAUUGUCCACAUGUGGAUAGGUCUGUUUUACAGCCGGUCAACAGCCAGAUUCUUUGACAUUGACUCGAACUUAACAUACCCAUGUUCAGAAGAGAGCGAUUCUCUGGAAAUGUCCAGUGGAAUUGUAUCAGCAUCAGAUGAGUCUGAGCUCAAGGCAAAUUCAUGUGGUGCUUUCCCAAGUGUAACAGACACUCAGGAACCUUCAAUUUCAAAAGCUUUGGACCUCAGCAAAAGAGAUGACUCUGUCUUAGACCAAGGAUCUGUGAUUUUGGACUUGUCACUGAGAAACACCAGGGCAGAGACUGUCACUCCAGAUUCAGAAUUCAACAGUAAAGGAGUUUCUGUGCCUGAUGAACGGAAAGAAGGAAGUGACACAUUGAACAUGGUCAAGUCAUCCAUGAGACUACAAGAGUGUCACAAAAAAUUUGUAGACUCCACAGAGAUAUUUAAUGAGGAAAAUGAUGUCAGAAGCAUCUAUGAAAAUAAGAAAAUUUGUAGUCCUUUGCAAAAAGAUGGCUGUCUGGAGCACACUGAUGAUCCCUCACCUUUAAAAGGUGAGGGAUCAUUUAUUCCUCCACAAGAAAAGAAGGAAAGAGCAUCCAUUUGGACAGAAAAUGAUUGGACUUCUUUGGGAAUUGACCACGUGUCACAUAGAUGCAACAAAGAGAAGACGCAUAUGAAAGAUGCCAUUGAAAAUUCUGAAACUACAGAGAUGAGUUUGGUUCAAAAACAAGAAACAGAUCCAUACAAAUCCAUUACAAACGAAGAUGAAGAGGUAGAAUCCAACAAAGAAGCAGAUCAAGUGUUGCAUACAGAUGAGCAUGAUGAAAUUGAUUACAAAGAUGGGAAAAACUGGGAAAUGAAAGAAAACCCAUGUCACAAAGGCAAAAUAGAACCUUCUCCAAAAGUCGCGUAUACAGAUGACGAUUCUGCAAACAAACAAUCAGGUAUCAUCUGUGAUGGAGCCCUAAAUGAGAAGCAGUUAUCAAGGGAGGAACCUAAAGCAGUCUCACCAGGCAAGGCUGAAAAUGUUAAUGAAGAUGUGGACUUCAUUAACAUUACAGCACAUGAAGAUAAAAUGACUGCAGAUGAAGAUCGUUUUGGAAAAGACAGUGGACUUGAUGAGAAGGACAGUUGCCUUUCAGCUGUGGGAGUUGACAGUGAUUUGCGUGAUCAGCCGUUACCUAAGGCGCGUGAAGGCUCCGAUUCAGCACAGAAGGAUUGUCUUACAGAUUGUAGUCGCAGAGCACCGUUUGAUGAGCCACCACCUCAGGAAGACAAUGAGGAAGAUGUCUGCCAUGAUUUGCAGAGAAAGCUUUGUGCAAACAGAAGUGCAUUGUCAGAUGAACAUGCCAUUUCAGAAAAAGCUCCUGACACUUCAUCUGAAAUGGAGCCUGUUUCUAAUGAGCCUGCAGCUGAGGAAAAUUCAGAAAAUAUUUGUUUGGAAGAUAAAGACCAUGAUUGGAAGGCAGCAUUACCUAUAUCUGAUGAGAGCACCUGUUCAUUAGAUGGGUCUUGUGUACUUGGGUCUGUCCUCAAGACAGAGGACAGUUUGGAAACAGGAGGGCAAAACACAGCAAUGGCAGUCUUCAGUUUUGGAAGUAGUGAUGGUCGUGAAGAUCAGCAAGCCAAAUCAGUUGCGGAAGAGAAAAAGGAUGAACCAUUUCAUCACGAGUCUCAUUCACCUCAGUGUGAGGUUAUAGAAAAAUGUGAAGACACACUAACUAAAGAAACAGAUCUCAAAAUGAACAAAAUAAAUGAUGGAUUGGAAAAAAGUCAUAGUGGGGUUGUAAUUCCAUUUAUUGGAAUAGAUAUUUCUGGAGAGGACAUAGUACAACCACAUUGCUCACACUCACAGCGCAAGAUUGAAGAUGUUCAAGACCGGAAAGGAAUACCAUUUAUCAGUGAAACUACCUCCCCUGACUUACCCACAGAGGUAUGCAGUACACCUGAAAUGUACUGUAAAAAGAAGGAACUGUCUGCUGGCAAAAUAUCACUUCUUGAUGUAACUGAAACCAACCAGCCAGUAGUCUUGGGAAGUGAGUCUGAUGAGCGAUGUCCUACCCCGACUGUGGAUGAGAAGCCACAUGAGUGCAUACCUUAUUUUGGCCCUGACAGCAGUACUUCUGCUUUUAGUAGCAGUGAAACCUGCAAAAACAUUAUUCAGGAAUGUCUUAAUAGAACCUCAACACCCACAAAGGAUGAGAUGUCUCUUGAGCAAAAUCUUGUUCCCCACUCUUCAGUUAACAGUGAUCCCAACCCUCAUUGCGGUCUUCAAACUGAUCUGGAACUAAGAACUUUAAGAGUUCUACAAACUAUAGACAAGUACCUCUCCGAAUCAAAGAACACGGACAAAUCCAACCACAUUGAAACAGCUGAUGUGAAACACUGUCUUCAAACCCCUGACCUCAACAGCAAGUACAUCCCCACUUACUUAGCUCCAAAUCACACUUCACCUGGCUUUAAUGAGCAGAAAAUAAGCAAUUCAAAGCCAGCAGUGGUGUCAGCCUCUACCUCAGAGGGCCUGCACCAAAAAUCAUCUGAUAACUUUCUUAUAUCGCCUUUCAAAAUUAAAUUAGAGGAAGUACUUGGUGUUCCCUUGCAGCUAAAGAAAACGGACUCACCACUUCCUCAACACUAUUUUGAAAGAACAGAUAAAUCACAGGAAACCCUGAUAGGGCAAGAUUGUCAUUCCUACACAUCUAUUCCGUCGGCUGAGUGUUUGCAGACUAUUAAACCAAAUGUCGACCAAGACAGGCAUAAAACAUCUCAGUUCAGUUUAAAUCAUGAAUCCCGUUCAUACAGUCAGCGUCCUGUCAUGGCUGUGAAACCCUCCAAGAGUGAUGAAAGUCAAGCAGAUUUCAUCUCUGAAGAUGGACAUAUUGAACACUCUCCCAGUAAUAAAAAGAAAACCCCUGUAGUUGCAUACACCACGCCCACUACCAUGCCUGUAGAGAAGAAGACAGAAAAUUUCAGGGCAAAUUCUGGACUAAACAAUGAUGAGCAAGAGUCCAGUGAGUUUACUUCCAAAAGUAGUUGGUUCUCAUAUGUUAGCGACAGUAAAUCUAACUUGGAUAAAACUAAUUUUCCUUCUUUUGUUGGGCAAACAAAUAAAGAGGACGCUGAGAUGGAUCAGAAAGACUGCUCAGAAGCAUCAACUUCAUUUGUGGAUUACAAAGAUAACAGCACAGUAAACGACAGUCCUAUCCAAGGACCUCAAAGCUCACUCAUAUGUACAGUCUAUAACACCAGCCGAAAGAGAUCAUAUUCUUUUCUAGAGCAAGUUUCUCAGAGGGGCCUACAAGAUGACCUCACUCAGGCAUCAAUGGAACAGGAGUGCCUUAUCUUUUCAGAACAAAUGAAACAGUUUUUGAAAAGGAGUAAGAGAGGACCCAACCACCAACAGGACACUCAUGACAAAUUGAAGUUGUCUUGCGCUAGCCCUAUGACUGUGAACUUUUCCAGUCUAGAGGAGCAAGAGGAUUCACUGGAUCUCUUGGACAAACCAUCACUUGUUGGACAAAAAAUCAAGGUAGACAUGUCCAACAGGAAAGACAUGAGAGACUCCACUGAGAACGAAAAGACUCAAAAAUUCUCAUCCAUGCAUCCUCAAAAAUUAUCUUCAGGAACAGGAAACCUUAAGGACCAUGCUGGAGUCUCUAGUGCGACUGCAGACUGGGCUAGAAGGUACGAGGCAAUGAUGGAGGACGUCUGUGCUGUGAAAAAGGUCCCAUCUAGACCUAAGAACUUCAGAAUGGACAGAGAUCACAAAAAGACUGAAUCAAACCAUUUUGACUUCUGUGAUCAAAUGAAGAAAGAGAUGGAUGAGAGCUUUCGAAGUAAUCUGAAUUCAGUAGUGAAGAAAUCCUGUAAAACAAAGUACAGAUUCUACAUAUUAGUGACGUCAGAUGAUGCCCUCUUUGAGGAGACCAAGGUAAGACAAGUUUUCAACAAACUUCUAAUCCCAUAUUUCAAUUAAAUGUAUAUUUCAGUGAUAUACUGUAUGCAGCCUUCAUUUCUGAAGCUGUUAAAGUGAUACAAAACCCAAAAUGUGUUUUUUGUUUUUGGCAGUGCAACAUUCAUUGCCAGUACAAAAGGUGCCAGCCCCAAGUUGUUGUUUAUCACAUCGCUUUGAACUUAAUCAUGGACAUUUUUCAUUAUUUUCCUACAUUCUAUUGACCAAAACAAUUAAAAGAGAAAGUUAAUUGGCAGAUGAACCAAUAAUGAAAGUAAUGGUUUGUUGAAGCCCUAGUCAUUUCCUACACAUUCCUGUCCUAUGGAACUUCAGAUUGCAGCAUGAGCGCUGAUUACAGGUACAUACAGCAGCUCAGUGUUGUUUGUAGUUGACAUGUCUAUGUAUAUAUAUAUAUACAUAACAUGCAUACCAUCCUGCUUGAGUAACUGUGCUUGUUAGAUGUAUGAUGACUUUGACAGCCUGUUUGCCCACAAGUCAGGAAAUGGUAAAAAUAGACCUGACCUUGAAGUUAAGUCCCUCAGCAGGUCUUCAGGGAGUGUUGUUUAGUACACUGAGCAACUAGCUCAUUUCUAUUCAUCUAUCAGCACAUGCACUGCAGAAGGGACGCCAGUGCCUGAUUCCCAACAAGGUUGCAAGGUUGACAAGAACGUUCACGCUUGACCAUGAGAUCAGAAAAUGUGAACAAGCUGUUCCCAAGGUCAAGAAUAAACAGAACACAGAGCUAACACCACACUCUCAUGUGCAUGCUUGCAUGUUUGAUAGGGCUGUGCAUGUGGAUUGAGUUUGUUUGUUGAGUCAUAGUUUGGUGAAAAUAUGAGUGGAGCUGGGUAAUGUAUUUACUGAGUAAAUACACGAGCAACAGGAGUGGGAACAGAAGUUUCUAAGGUGGUUUUACACCUUGAAAUCUUGUCAAUUGAAUUUCAUCGUAACUGCCUCAAAUCCAAAGUGAUGAUAGCCAGAAACAUUUACUGCUCGUUUUCAAGCCUACGGUGGUGAGCGUUUCAUAAUCAAAGAAACAUAUUGGGCAAAGUAACAUUGAAAUAAUGUUCUCAAGAGGGUUGUAAAAACAGCUGUGAUCCAGAAAAUGACUACAAAAACCAAGACUGAAGCAUUUCCACACAUCAGCUUACAUUGCAAUAUAAUUUGUCUUAUUUGAUAUAAUCUCCCAUUUAUUGUGGUGAUAUCAAGAGGCAGUCAGCCACUGAGUAAACUCCAAGAUCAUAUCAGAAGAAUGCUGAAUUUAAGGACAGUAUAUAUGGGAUACCAAGUGGGUAUUUUUUUUUUUCAAAAUUAGGUCAAAGCCACGCAAGACUUACUAAUGAAAAAUGACGUUUAAUGUUUUGUAAUUUCUCCUUUUGUUUUCAAAAGGGACAGUUAGAGGCAGAGGGCCAUAUUGCUGUACAGCCAUCCGAGUUCUUCCUUGGUGAGGAUAGUUCUUCACCCCUACUCAUCAUCCUCAGGAAUGAAGACAUUGCAGAGCACAUUUUUGAGGUCCCACAUUUGCUCGAGUUGAAGAA